Molecule: long non-coding RNA, 1379 nt
Filed under: Mus spicilegus (steppe mouse)
Lineage: Eukaryota; Metazoa; Chordata; Mammalia; Rodentia; Muridae
Description: lncRNA (ENSMSIG00000005380.1)
Source: RNAcentral
CGGAAAUCUCUUUCGAUAUGUUUGCUGGUUUGUUUAUAUUUUUAUGUAUGUUGGUACUUUACCUGCGUGUUUAUGUGUAUGAUGCUGUUGGAACAGGAGUUACAAGCAGAUGUGUGAGCUUCCACGUAGGUGUUGUGAAUGGAACUCCGAUCCUCUAAAAGAGCAUCCAGUGCUCUUAAACGCAGAGCCAUCUCUCCAGCCUGGAACUCCUCUGAGGUUCCCCUGCACCAUCCCUUCGGAGUCCAGUCUCCUGUUUGGGUCGCUUACUGUUCUCACUCCCAUACAUCCAGCUUUCCAAGCAUGGCUGUCCAUUUCUCCAGGGUCAGCCAGCCCACCUCUGGAGUCUCCAGUGCCUUGGGAAAAUGAACGAAGGUGGUGAGUUUAGCAUCUGUAGCUGGUAGAAAAACAAAGUCAUAGGUAAGUGUUCUCUCUCUCUCUCUCUCUCUCUCUCUCUCUCUCUCUCUCUCUCUUCCCUCCUUCCCUCUCUCAUUUUUUGAGACAGAGUCUCACUAUGUGGCCUAGGCUGGCCUCAAACUCAUGACUCUACUGCUCAGCCUCUUGAAUACUAGGUUUGUAGGAGUGCACCAACACAACACUGGUCUUCCGAGUGUGUGUGCAUGUGUCUGUGUGUCCAUGUGCAUGUGUAUGUCCGUGUGCGCAUGCACACAUGGUAGUCACAGGUCACCCCAGGUACCUUCUUCAGGAGCCAAGCACCUUGGUUUUUUUAGUACAGGGUCUCCCACUUAGCCAGGAACUUGACAAUUCGGCUAGGCUGUCUGGCCAGGGAGAAUCAUUGUGUCUGUGCCUCCCCAGCGCUGGGGUUACAAGCCCAGGCCACCGACGCUAGGCUUUGUACAUAGGUGCUGGGGAUUAAACUCCGGUCCUCUUGAGAGGCAAAUAUUCCACUGACUGAGCUAGCUCCCUGCCCAGACUACAUCCCACACCCUGCUUUUUUUUAAAAUAAGAGUUCUCAUAAAGGCAUCUCCAGCAGGACAGUCAGACUCAGCCCGUCCCCGACAGAUGCCAGAUGUCACAGAAACAACCAGGGCUGUGCAUGAUGAAGUAUGAAACCAACUGGUCUCUGACAUGAGAGAUUCUGACGUCUGCUGUGGUGGAUUUUCUUCCUCAGCGUUACCGGCUCUUCUCUGUCUUUGUGGGGGCACCUCCCACCCCAUGUCCCCUACCAGCCUGUUUCCCAUCACUUGUCUUUUUCUGCCUCUCCCUACUGCUUAUUUGCAGCAGUCAGUGUCUGAUGGCCUCUUGGCAUACAGCUUUCAGCUUUGCUUUCGCUAUUGAGCGGCCCUGGAACUUUCCGGCUACAUUCCCAGGGGGCUUCCUAAUCAACCCUGCUGAAGGGGGGGGGGCGUUCUCAGCGGUUC